AUCUUUAUCCUCAACAUAACUUGAUGAAGUCAGUGAGAGGAUUGAUGACUUACCAGUAGGACCAGCUUGUUUUUAGUCCACCUUGAUCUGACUUGGUGAAAUCAGUGGGAGAAUUGAGAUUAGCUGGUUUGUGCAUUUAAUUCUAUUAAAUUGUGUUAACCAAAUCUUCUAAAUUAUUAGAUUUAUAAAAUUAGUUAGUUAUGGCGAUAACUAGAUCAUAGACUCUC
This 227-nucleotide long non-coding RNA is filed under the name Elaeis guineensis (African oil palm). RNAcentral describes it as "long non-coding RNA (EGUI_LNC070801)". Lineage: Eukaryota; Viridiplantae; Streptophyta; Magnoliopsida; Arecales; Arecaceae. The record is from RNAcentral.